Molecule: long non-coding RNA, 277 nt
Organism: Tyto alba (common barn owl)
Lineage: Eukaryota; Metazoa; Chordata; Aves; Strigiformes; Tytonidae
Exons: 3
Source: RefSeq, a predicted model, not a curated record
UUACCCCAGAAACUCUACUCCAUACUUUUACAUUUGAUUCUCUCAGAAUCUCCAUGAAAACCUACAAUGAAGACAAAGUGGCAACAUAACACAAAGAGAUGAAAACAGGAGUUGAAUCAUUAAAGAUCCCAGAAUGUUACAAGGACACAGCAGUUAUUUUCAAAACAGACUAGAUAAAGCAUGCCUCUUCAAAGAAUUCAGCUACUUACCAUGAAAGCUACACUCUCCAGAAUUAACAACAUUCAGAGAACAUACAGUUUCUCUACAAGAAGAAAAG